GUAAUGCUUAGGAAUCUGCCUAUUAGUGGGGGACAACAUCUCGAAAGGGAUGCUAAUACCGCAUACGUCCUACGGGAGAAAGCAGGGGACCUCCGGGCCUUGCGCUAAUAGAUGAGCCUAAGUCGGAUUAGCUAGUUGGUGGGGUAAAGGCCUACCAAGGCGACGAUCUGUAGCGGGUCUGAGAGGAUGAUCCGCCACACUGGGACUGAGACACGGCCCAGACUCCUACGGGAGGCAGCAGUGGGGAAUAUUGGACAAUGGGGGGAACCCUGAUCCAGCCAUGCCGCGUGUGUGAAGAAGGCCUUUUGGUUGUAAAGCACUUUAAGCGAGGAGGAGGCUACCGAGAUUAAUACUCUUGGAUAGUGGACGUUACUCGCAGAAUAAGCACCGGCUAACUCUGUGCCAGCAGCCGCGGUAAUACAGAGGGUGCAAGCGUUAAUCGGAUUUACUGGGCGUAAAGCGCGCGUAGGUGGCCAAUUAAGUCAAAUGUGAAAUCCCCGAGCUUAACUUGGGAAUUGCAUUCGAUACUGGUUGGCUAGAGUAUGGGAGAGGAUGGUAGAAUUCCAGGUGUAGCGGUGAAAUGCGUAGAGAUCUGGAGGAAUACCGAUGGCGAAGGCAGCCAUCUGGCCUAAUACUGACACUGAGGUG
This 648-nucleotide ribosomal RNA is filed under the name uncultured bacterium. RNAcentral describes it as "bacterial SSU rRNA". It matches the Rfam family "Bacterial small subunit ribosomal RNA", at positions 110 to 753 of the family's 1533-position model. The record is from RNAcentral.